GGUUAAGUGACUAAGCGUACACGGUGGAUGCCCUGGCAGUCAGAGGCGAUGAAGGACGUGCUAAUCUGCGAAAAGCGUCGGUAAGGUGAUAUGAACCGUUAUAACCGGCGAUGUCCGAAUGGGGAAACCCAGUGCAAUUCGUUGCACUAUCGUUAACUGAAUACAUAGGUUAACGAGGCGAACCGGGGGAACUGAAACAUCUAAGUACCCCGAGGAAAAGAAAUCAACCGAGAUUCCCCCAGUAGCGGCGAGCGAACGGGGAGCAGCCCAGAGUCUGAAUCAGCUUGUGUGUUAGUGGAACGGUCUGGAAAGUCCGACGGUACAGGGUGAUAGUCCCGUACACCAAAAUGCACAGGCUGUGAACUCGAAGAGUAGGGCGGGACACGUGGUAUCCUGUCUGAAUAUGGGGGGACCAUCCUCCAAGGCUAAAUACUCCUGACUGACCGAUAGUGAACCAGUACCGUGAGGGAAAGGCGAAAAGAACCCCGGCGAGGGGAGUGAAAAAGAACCUGAAACCGUGUACGUACAAGCAGUGGGAGCACCUUCGGGUGUGACUGCGUACCUUUUGUAUAAUGGGUCAGCGACUUAUAUUCUGUAGCAAGGUUAACCGUAUAGGGGAGCCGCAGGGAAACCGAGUCUUAACUGGGCGUUAAGUUGCAGGGUAUAGACCCGAAACCCGGUGAUCUAGCCAUGGGCAGGUUGAAGGUUGGGUAACACUAACUGGAGGACCGAACCGACUAAUGUUGAAAAAUUAGCGGAUGACUUGUGGCUGGGGGUGAAAGGCCAAUCAAACCGGGAGAUAGCUGGUUCUCCCCGAAAGCUAUUUAGGUAGCGCCUCGUGAACUCAUCUUCGGGGGUAGAGCACUGUUUCGGCUAGGGGGUCAUCCCGACUUACCAACCCGAUGCAAACUACGAAUACCGAAGAAUGUUAUCACGGGAGACACACGGCGGGUGCUAACGUCCGUCGUGAAGAGGGAAACAACCCAGACCGCCAGCUAAGGUCCCAAAGUCAUGGUUAAGUGGGAAACGAUGUGGGAAGGCACAGACAGCCAGGAUGUUGGCUUAGAAGCAGCCAUCAUUUAAAGAAAGCGUAAUAGCUCACUGGUCGAGUCGGCCUGCGCGGAAGAUGUAACGGGGCUAAACCAUGCACCGAAGCUGCGGCAGCGACACGAUGUGUUGUUGGGUAGGGGAGCGUUCUGUAAGCCUGCGAAGGUGACCUGUGAGGGUUGCUGGAGGUAUCAGAAGUGCGAAUGCUGACAUAAGUAACGAUAAAGCGGGUGAAAAGCCCGCUCGCCGGAAGACCAAGGGUUCCUGUCCAACGUUAAUCGGGGCAGGGUGAGUCGACCCCUAAGGCGAGGCCGAAAGGCGUAGUCGAUGGGAAACAGGUUAAUAUUCCUGUACUUGGUGUUACUGCGAAGGGGGGACGGAGAAGGCUAUGUUAGCCGGGCGACGGUUGUCCCGGUUUAAGCAUGUAGGCUGGUUAUCCAGGCAAAUCCGGAUAAUCAAGGCUGAGGUGUGAUGACGAGGCACUACGGUGCUGAAGUAACAAAUGCCCUGCUUCCAGGAAAAGCCUCUAAGCAUCAGGUAACAUCAAAUCGUACCCCAAACCGACACAGGUGGUCAGGUAGAGAAUACCAAGGCGCUUGAGAGAACUCGGGUGAAGGAACUAGGCAAAAUGGUGCCGUAACUUCGGGAGAAGGCACGCUGGUGUGUAGGUGAAGCCCCUGCGGGUGGAGCUGAGACCAGUCGAAGAUACCAGCUGGCUGCAACUGUUUAUUAAAAACACAGCACUGUGCAAACACGAAAGUGGACGUAUACGGUGUGACGCCUGCCCGGUGCCGGAAGGUUAAUUGAUGGGGUUAUCCGUAAGGAGAAGCUCUUGAUCGAAGCCCCGGUAAACGGCGGCCGUAACUAUAACGGUCCUAAGGUAGCGAAAUUCCUUGUCGGGUAAGUUCCGACCUGCACGAAUGGCGUAAUGAUGGCCAGGCUGUCUCCACCCGAGACUCAGUGAAAUUGAACUCGCUGUGAAGAUGCAGUGUACCCGCGGCAAGACGGAAAGACCCCGUGAACCUUUACUAUAGCUUGACACUGAACAUUGAGCCUUGAUGUGUAGGAUAGGUGGGAGGCUUUGAAGCGUGGACGCCAGUCUGCGUGGAGCCAACCUUGAAAUACCACCCUUUAAUGUUUGAUGUUCUAACGUUGGCCCCUUAUCGGGGUUGCGGACAGUGUCUGGUGGGUAGUUUGACUGGGGCGGUCUCCUCCCAAAGCGUAACGGAGGAGCACGAAGGUUAGCUAAUCCUGGUCGGACAUCAGGAGGUUAGUGCAAUGGCAUAAGCUAGCUUGACUGCGAGCGUGACGGCGCGAGCAGGUGCGAAAGCAGGUCAUAGUGAUCCGGUGGUUCUGAAUGGAAGGGCCAUCGCUCAACGGAUAAAAGGUACUCCGGGGAUAACAGGCUGAUACCGCCCAAGAGUUCAUAUCGACGGCGGUGUUUGGCACCUCGAUGUCGGCUCAUCACAUCCUGGGGCUGAAGUAGGUCCCAAGGGUAUGGCUGUUCGCCAUUUAAAGUGGUACGCGAGCUGGGUUUAGAACGUCGUGAGACAGUUCGGUCCCUAUCUGCCGUGGGCGCUGGAGAAUUGAGGGGGGCUGCUCCUAGUACGAGAGGACCGGAGUGGACGCAUCACUGGUGUUCGGGUUGUCAUGCCAAUGGCACUGCCCGGUAGCUAAAUGCGGAAGAGAUAAGUGCUGAAAGCAUCUAAGCACGAAACUUGCCCCGAGAUGAGUUCUCCCUGAGACUUUAAGUCUCCUGAAGGAACGUUGAAGACGACGACGUUGAUAGGCCGGGUGUGUAAGCGCAGCGAUGCGUUGAGCUAACCGGUACUAAUGAACCGUGAGGCUUAACCUU
Molecule: ribosomal RNA, 2902 nt
Filed under: Klebsiella pneumoniae
Lineage: Bacteria; Pseudomonadati; Pseudomonadota; Gammaproteobacteria; Enterobacterales; Enterobacteriaceae
Description: 23S ribosomal RNA
Rfam family: Bacterial large subunit ribosomal RNA
Source: RNAcentral